GUUAUUUUACAUGUUAAUCAUAGAUACUGUGAUUGCUUUGCCAAUGGUGAUUUUUGCAACAACUGCAACUGCAAUAACUGUUAUAACAAUCAACUUCAUGAAAGUGAGCGAUUUCAAGCCAUUAAGGCCUGUCUUGAUAGAAACCCUGAAGCUUUCUUACCAAAGAUUGGGAAAGGGAAACCAGGAGAAAUUAAACCUCACCAUAACAAAGGAUGUAAUUGCAAGCGUUCAGGAUGCCUCAAGAAUUAUUGUCAGUGCUUUGAGGCUAAAAUUAUGUGUUCCUCUAUUUGCAAAUGCAUUGGUUGCAAAAAUUAUGAAGAAAGUGCAGAAGAAAAAAACCAGCUGAAUGUGCUAAACUACAUGGAGAUUGGAAAUAGUGAAG
Molecule: long non-coding RNA, 382 nt
Organism: Calidris pygmaea (Spoon-billed sandpiper)
Lineage: Eukaryota; Metazoa; Chordata; Aves; Charadriiformes; Scolopacidae
Source: Ensembl